CCAACAGGGAUUGCCUUAGUAACGGCGAGUGAAGCGGCAAAAGCUCAAAUUUGAAAUCUGGCACCUUCGGUGUCCGAGUUGUAAUUUGAAGAAGGUAACUUUGGAGUUGGCUCUUGUCUAUGUUCCUUGGAACAGGACGUCACAGAGGGUGAGAAUCCCGUGCGAUGAGAUGCCCAAUUCUAUGUAAAGUGCUUUCGAAGAGUCGAGUUGUUUGGGAAUGCAGCUCUAAGUGGGUGGUAAAUUCCAUCUAAAGCUAAAUAUUGGCGAGAGACCGAUAGCGAACAAGUACAGUGAUGGAAAGAUGAAAAGAACUUUGAAAAGAGAGUGAAAAAGUACGUGAAAUUGUUGAAAGGGAAGGGCUUGAGAUCAGACUUGGUAUUUUGCGAUCCUUUCCUUCUUGGUUGGGUUCCUCGCAGCUUACUGGGCCAGCAUCGGUUUGGAUGGUAGGAUAAUGACUAAGGAAUGUGGCUCUACUUCGGUGGAGUGUUAU
RNAcentral lists this ribosomal RNA (490 nucleotides) under Debaryomyces fabryi. RNAcentral's name for it is "LSU rRNA". It matches the Rfam family "Eukaryotic large subunit ribosomal RNA", at positions 65 to 560 of the family's 3401-position model. Lineage: Eukaryota; Fungi; Ascomycota; Pichiomycetes; Serinales; Debaryomycetaceae. The record is from RNAcentral.